UACGGGGGGGGCAAGCGUUGUUCGGAAUUACUGGGCGUAAAGGGCUCGUAGGCGGCCAACUAAGUCAGACGUGAAAUCCCUCGGCUUAACCGGGGAACUGCAUCUGAUACUGGAUGGCUUGAGUUCGGGAGAGGGAUGCGGAAUUCCAGGUGUAGCGGUGAAAUGCGUAGAUAUUGGGAGGAACACCAGUGGCGAAGGCGGCUCACUGGACCGGUUCUGACGCUGAGGCGCGAAAGCGUGGGGAGCAAACGGG
RNAcentral lists this ribosomal RNA (253 nucleotides) under uncultured bacterium. Its description in RNAcentral is "partial 16S ribosomal RNA". It matches the Rfam family "Bacterial small subunit ribosomal RNA", at positions 524 to 776 of the family's 1533-position model. The record is from RNAcentral.